Transfer RNA from Varibaculum cambriense DORA_20, 71 nucleotides. It matches the Rfam family "tRNA". From Rfam's summary of the family: Transfer RNA (tRNA) molecules are approximately 80 nucleotides in length. Their secondary structure includes four short double-helical elements and three loops (D, anti-codon, and T loops). NCBI's taxonomy places the organism in Bacteria, Bacillati, Actinomycetota, Actinomycetes, Actinomycetales, Actinomycetaceae. The record is from Rfam.
GGUGGGUUGGUCGAGUGGUUAGGCAGCGGCCUGCAAAGCCGUGUACACGGGUUCGAAUCCCGUACCCACCU